This 442-nucleotide long non-coding RNA is filed under the name Equus asinus (donkey). RNAcentral describes it as "lncRNA (ENSEASG00005025033.1)". Lineage: Eukaryota; Metazoa; Chordata; Mammalia; Perissodactyla; Equidae. The record is from RNAcentral.
GUGAAUUCAGCAGCCAUGAAGACUUGGGUGCCGUGGCAGGAGGGCCCAGCCCAGGGCCUGGCUCAUCGCUCACACCCCAGCACACAGGGCCACCCAGGGAUCAGACGGGAGGGCAUGUGGAGCUUCGAGUGCCUGUGACAUGAUCCCACUCUCCUCCUUUGGUGGUUGCGGCAUGGCUCCUCCAGCGAAGGCAGGAGGGUUGAUAUUACAGUCGUGUACCGCAAUAACGACAUUUUGGUCAACAGACGACAGUGGUCCCAUGAGAUUAGUACCACGUAACUAAGGCGUGUAGCAGGCCGUACCAUCCAGGUUCCUGUUAUAAAGUAACGAGUUUGGUUUUUUGUCACUGAAAGAACAUCCCUAUUUAACUGCAAAUGUCAAGAUUCCAUAGCGACGUUUCAAGAGGAUACAACACGAAGCCUCCAGUUACAUGACAUUACAG